CAAGUCGGACGGAGAUAUUCGCUGAUGAAGUACUUCGGUAAUGAAUCUUGGCAUAUCUUAGUGGCGGACGGGUGAGUAACGCGUGAGCAACCUGCCUUUCAGAGGGGGAUAACGUUUGGAAACGAACGCUAAUACCGCAUGACAUUAUCUUAUCGCAUGGUAGGAUAAUCAAAGGAGCAAUCCGCUGAAAGAUGGGCUCGCGUCCGAUUAGGUAGUUGGUGGGGUAACGGCCCACCAAGCCGACGAUCGGUAGCCGGACUGAGAGGUUGGACGGCCACAUUGGGACUGAGACACGGCCCAGACUCCUACGGGAGGCAGCAGUAAGGGAUAUUGGUCAAUGGGGGAAACCCUGAACCAGCAACGCCGCGUGAGGGAAGACGGUUUUCGGAUUGUAAACCUCUGUCCUCUGUGAAGAUGAUGACGGUAGCAGAGGAGGAAGCUCCGGCUAACUACGUGCCAGCAGCCGCGGUAAUACGUAGGGAGCGAGCGUUGUCCGGAUUUACUGGGUGUAAAGGGUGCGUAGGCGGCUUGGCAAGUCAGUAGUGAAAUCCAUGGGCUUAACCCAUGAACUGCUAUUGAAACUGUCGAGCUUGAGUGAAGUAGAGGUAGGCGGAAUUCCCGGUGUAGCGGUGAAAUGCGUAGAGAUCGGGAGGAACACCAGUGGCGAAGGCGGCCUACUGGGCUUUAACUGACGCUGAGGCACGAAAGCGUGGGUAGCAAACAGGAUUAGAUACCCUGGUAGUCCACGCCGUAAACGAUGAUUACUAGGUGUGGGUGGACUGACCCCAUCCGUGCCGGAGU
RNAcentral lists this ribosomal RNA (801 nucleotides) under uncultured bacterium. Its description in RNAcentral is "bacterial SSU rRNA". It matches the Rfam family "Bacterial small subunit ribosomal RNA", at positions 58 to 852 of the family's 1533-position model. The record is from RNAcentral.